This 951-nucleotide long non-coding RNA is filed under the name Homo sapiens (human). Its description in RNAcentral is "HSALNT0320917". The record is from RNAcentral. Lineage: Eukaryota; Metazoa; Chordata; Mammalia; Primates; Hominidae.
CGGAAUUUUUAGCUGGCACUCAGAUUUCUGUCUGCCUCUCAUUGGCAAACAUGACAUUUCAGCAAUUUCUCUAAAGAGGAAUGACUGGGGGGUAUGUACAGCAGGCAUCAUGUAAGAAAAACUCACACCUCACGACAUAUUUGUUUGAUUUAUUCAGCAGACUUCAGCAAAGGAAAGAUGUGAAAGCAACCCUUGAUUGUUGAUUUUUUGUUCAUUCUGAAAAUCACAUCGCCAGAUCCAACACCUUUUUAUCCCAAUCACCAGUACAAGCCACCCGUAUCAGUGUACACUGUGGCUGACCGAUCCAUAGUGAUGCUUUGAGUUCUAUGAAGUGAACAGGCAUCCAACAAGGCUGAUGGCACAGAAGAUGGUCCUAAGACAGACAAGCAAACAAAACUUGCCUUCUCUGUGGAAGCACUUCCUGACUUCGCUUCCCCAACAACACAAGGAAGGACUUUCUGGAAUCUACUUAUCUGACCAAGAAAGCUUCUUUCCAAAAGAAAUGCAAUUGUCUUGAGACUUCUUCCCUAGGGAUCUGAUCAACUAACCAGAAAAGAGCAACCACCAGAGAAGAGACUUAUUUUUCAGAUCCUGAAUUCGCAGAAUGGCUGACAUCAGCCUGUCUGAAGACCCCCACCAAAGACCUGACUCAGCACAGGAAUGCAGUUUCGUCUUCCUGUCCCAUAAUUUCACCCCUCACUUCUCAACCAAUCAGUGAUCCCCGCAAUACCCAUCACCUGGCCAGGCCCUUUAAAAUCCCUAACCACAAACCCCUCAGGGAGGCAGAUUUGAGGUUUCCUCCGGUCUCUUCAAUUGACUGCAUGAUGAUUGAUUAUUAAACUCUUUCUCUGCUGCAACCCCCAGUGUCUCCAUAUAUUGACUCACUGCAUCGGGCAAAGGACUCGUUAUGGUUAUAGUAUGCAGCCAGUCCUGACUGGCUCUUCAGGGAAG